CCUACGGGAGGCAGCAGUGGGGAAUAUUGGACAAUGGGCGAAAGCCUGAUCCAGCAAUUCCGCGUGUGUGAAGAAGGCCUUCGGGUUGUAAAGCACUUUAGGUUGGGAAGAAAAAACUUCUCCUAAUACGAGAAGCGUUGACGGUACCAACAGAAUAAGCACCGGCUAACUCUGUGCCAGCAGCCGCGGUAAUACAGAGGGUGCAAGCGUUAAUCGGAUUUACUGGGCGUAAAGCGUGCGUAGGUGGUUUCGUAAGUCGGAUGUGAAAGCCCCGGGCUCAACCUGGGAACUGCAUUCGAUACUGCGAGACUCGAGUUUGGUAGAGGGUGGCGGAAUUCCCGGUGUAGCGGUGAAAUGCGUAGAUAUCGGGAGGAACAUCAAUGGCGAAGGCAGCCACCUGGGCCUGAACUGACACUGAGGCACGAAAGCGUGGGUAGCAAACAGGAUUAGAUACCCUGGUAGUCCACGCCGUAAACGAUGAGACUGACGUUGUUACGUUUACGAUCGGUGUCGUAGCUAACGCGAUAAGUUCUCCGCCGUGGGAGUACGGCCGCGAGUAGAACGUACUAAUAGUAGUUGAGUCGUUGAGAGNGCGACGGCGACGACGAGGGAGGAGG
Molecule: ribosomal RNA, 617 nt
Filed under: uncultured bacterium
Lineage: Bacteria
Description: bacterial SSU rRNA
Rfam family: Bacterial small subunit ribosomal RNA (bases 1-538)
Source: RNAcentral